Patiria miniata (bat star) is the source of this 349-nucleotide long non-coding RNA. RefSeq lists it as uncharacterized. Lineage: Eukaryota; Metazoa; Echinodermata; Asteroidea; Valvatida; Asterinidae. The transcript has 3 exons. The record is from RefSeq and is a predicted model, not a curated record.
AGAUCAGCAAGGAAGAAGUCACUACGCUCAACGAGAAGACCAACAGACAGAUACGGAUCCGUGAAUGGCUUCGCCAACUUUCCCAGGAGGCUCAGCUCAUUGUCAUGAGUCUACCUAUUCCCAGGAAGCGUACUUGUUCAGCUGACAUGUACAUGUGCUGGCUGGAGACAUUAUCCAAGGAUAUGCUGUCAGCAGGGGCGUACUUAAUUGCAUCAUUUGACCAAAUAUGGCAUCCAAAUAAAAGUCGAUACAACGAAUUUCACUUGAAAUACCAUAAAGUGACAAAGGACAAUUCCAACCAGUUGAAAGACCCUCCUCACUUGAAUGGAAUUUGUGCUUUGUUUUGAUU